This 424-nucleotide ribosomal RNA is filed under the name uncultured prokaryote. Its description in RNAcentral is "bacterial SSU rRNA". It matches the Rfam family "Bacterial small subunit ribosomal RNA", at positions 355 to 796 of the family's 1533-position model. The record is from RNAcentral.
UGGGGAAUCUUAGACAAUGGGGGCAACCCUGAUCUAGCCAUGCCGCGUGAACGAUGAAGGCCCUAGGGUUGUAAAGUUCUUUCAGUCGUGACGAUAAUGACGGUAGCGACAGAAGAAGCCCCGGCUAACUCCGUGCCAGCAGCCGCGGUAAUACGGAGGGGGCUAGCGUUGUUCGGAAUUACUGGGCGUAAAGCGCGCGUAGGCGGAUAGUUAAGUCGGGGGUGAAAUCCCGGGGCUCAACCCCGGAACUGCCUUCGAUACUGGCUGUCUUGAGGUCGAGAGAGGUGAGUGGAAUACCGAGUGUAGAGGUGAAAUUCGUAGAUAUUCGGUGGAACACCAGUGGCGAAGGCGGCUCACUGGCUCGAUACUGACGCUGAGGUGCGAAAGCGUGGGGAGCAAACAGGAUUAGAUACCCCCGUAGUCC